This 254-nucleotide ribosomal RNA is filed under the name uncultured bacterium. Its description in RNAcentral is "partial 16S ribosomal RNA". It matches the Rfam family "Bacterial small subunit ribosomal RNA", at positions 524 to 776 of the family's 1533-position model. The record is from RNAcentral.
UACGUAGGAUGCAAGCGUUGUCCGGAGUACUGGGCGUAAAGCGUGUGCAGGCGGCUCUUUGCGUCGGUGGUGAAAUCUCCUGGCUUAACUGGGAGGGGGGCCAUCGAUACGGGGGAGCGUUGAGGGCUAGAGAGGGAAGUAGAACUCCCGGUGGACCAGUGAAAUGGGUAGAUAUCGGGAAGAAUACCUGAGGUGAAGACGGCUUCCUGGCUAGCACCUGACGCUCAUACACGAAAGCUUGGGGAGCAAACAGG